Molecule: long non-coding RNA, 410 nt
Filed under: Bos taurus (domestic cattle)
Lineage: Eukaryota; Metazoa; Chordata; Mammalia; Artiodactyla; Bovidae
Description: long non-coding RNA NONBTAT023443
Source: RNAcentral
UGCAGCUCUUGAUUUAUAUACUCAGAGAUUUGGGGGCCUUUGGUAGAACUCAGAAUGACAGUUUUGCAGGCAGAGGGAGCUAGUCAGAUCAGAAGCUUUCAUAUAUACCUCAUUGGCUGGGCUGUGCUUUAAGGUACAUUGCAGUACCAGCCACAACCACCAGAUGGAGGAAAAGACACAUAAAUGACUAGUCCAGGCAUCCUCUUGUGUGCAGUCUGCUGCUCCUAUCUAAUCCCUGAGUCCUGCUCAGCCUCCCCACGACCUCUAUGUGCUUUGAAAAAUAAAUCUUUCAUGGCCAAAUUGGCUGCGUUUAGCACUUCUGAAUGAAACACUGAGCCAGAACUUUAUAUUCUGCACCUGGUUCUUUGUUACUUAAGGUAAAAUUUGUAUUCGAAUGUGCCCUGAUCCAU